This is a long non-coding RNA of Papaver somniferum (opium poppy), 3732 nucleotides long. RefSeq lists it as uncharacterized. The transcript has 10 exons. The record is from RefSeq and is a predicted model, not a curated record. NCBI's taxonomy places the organism in Eukaryota, Viridiplantae, Streptophyta, Magnoliopsida, Ranunculales, Papaveraceae.
AUAGCUCCAGAGUCCAGAUUUAGAACCAAGGGUUAGAUGUAAGUUAGAAUAUGUUUAUACGGUGAUGAUGAAACCUCGUUUCUAACGAGAUCUUAACUUAUCUUUUAUACCCAUUUUCAUUGCUCUUUUUCUUUGUUGCAAUUCUUCUCCCUAGUUCAGAGCUCCAAUUUAGAGAAAAAAAUAUCAAACAAACAAAUCGCCAUGAUCAAAUAAAAGCAAACCCUAACCAACAAGUGAUUCCAAAGUUAUCAAUUUUUUUUUUCCAAAACCGAUUUAUUUAAAACCUCUUUUUUUUCUGGUUUCAAUCUUCAUCAGGUAAACCUGUGGGUUCACAAUAUAAUUUUUGUUUUUUAAUUUCUUGAAUGUUAGGGUUUUAGUUAAAUUUUUGUUUUGUUUUUGUAUGUAGAAUACCUUCAAGUGGAUUUAUCUUCGGGUAUAACAUCUCCGUCACUUUGAUUCAAUUUUAUUGGUGUUACUAGGGAUUUUGUUGGUUUUACUGAAGUUCUCAGAUUUUAUUUUUAUUAUGUAAAAGGGUUUCUAUUCAUAUGCUAACUGUUAAACAAAACUGUAUUUGUUUGAUUUGUGUUUUAGGGAUUUCAAUCUUGAGAUCUAGUUUUCAUACUAUUCUUUGAUUUUUAUUUGGUGUGUAAUCGAAUUACUUUUAUAUUUGAGUUAGAAUCUUUUCUGUGUUCUUUCUGUUGAAUUUGGCUUUUAAGAUUAUAAUGAAACUUCAUUUUCUACUUUGAUGUACGUAGUUGUGUUCAAGGAAUUGUGUUUGUAUUAUCAGUCUUUGGUGUUUGUGUUCAGGUUUAAGAUGAAUCUAGACUGUUAAUUAAUAAUGUCUACAUGUUAUUUCGGACCAAGUAUUUUAUGUUUAUGUUUGCGUAUGUAAUUAGUUUUAGAUUAAAAUGUUUGCUGAAUAAACUGCAACUCGGAGACUUUUGAUAAACACCAUGAUGUAGAUAUCUGAUUUUCUUGUCAUCGCAUAUGAAUUCAGAUUUUUUUUGGUUUUUAUGAAUGACAGUGAAUUUGUGAUAGCUUAGGAUGAAUAUCUCAAGGGAUUCUAACUAUUGCAUUUGAUGUUCUUCUUGAUCCCAACAUGAAGGAACCUAAUUUAUAUUGUUGUGCCUUUUUAUUCCAGCAUGAUUGAUUAUGAUCAGGUUGCAUAUGCAGAAAGACUAUGUGCAUAUUUAUGCGAAUUGAUUGUUUAGAGUGUAGGUUUUUAUUUAAUAUGGCUUUUAUUUAGAUGUAUAUUGUUAGUGAUAUAGAAAUCUCUAAUAUGUAGGUUUUAUAUUAUGAUAUUGAGAAGCAAUGUUGCAUUUUCUAUUGUUGCUUAUAAUGGGUGUUUUUAUUAGAUAACUAUGGCUAGGUGCAAGUAUUUGGACUCCUUUGGUUGAUACAUGAAGGUCUCCACAUAAUGGUUUAGACAGUCAUGGCAGUUCAUUUUCAAGCGGUGGGCAUAAGUCUUAUCUGUCGUCGGAGGAUAUACAUUCUCCUAGUGAAGGUUCAAAUCAGUGGAAUGAGGCUCUACUGCAGACAUAUAGUGAUACUGAAGCUGGCAAUAAAAAAAAAAGCAUGAUCAGUAAUGUUGUUGUUUUCUUUUACUUCCCUUAAUAUAUUAGCUAUUCCAUGUUUCUUAUAAGAUUUAAUGAUUUUGUAUUGUUUUGUCUGCCAAUUAAUAAUAUUGUUUCUUAUAGGAUUUAAUGAUUUUGUAUUGUUUUGUCUGCCAAUUAAUAAUAAUAUAUUAGCUACGUCUUGUGUGUAGGUGAUAAUUGUCUGCCAAUCAAAUUCAAUGACAUUGGACAACCUAUAGGACCUCUACCCACAAGACGUAUGCCACCACACAUGGAAAGAUGAACAUAAAUCUUGUCUCACCAGCUUAUUUCAUCCUCCAUGCUUGCAGUGGAAUGAAAGUUUGUACACACAAGUAGUAAUGGAUGCAUCUAUGGACCUCCAUAUACUGAGUGUCAACUGGCAAGUCUGCUGGGAUACCCUUGAAGCAGCAAAUUUCAAUGAGUAUAGCCGGAAGACUCUUGUUGGAAUCCUGAUUUGUUAGGGUUUAAUCUCAUAGAACAUGUUUUGUGCCAUAUAUGCAAGAAAGAAAAGCCUAGUUCUGUUUUGGUUUUUAUGACUGGGUGGGAUAACAUUAAUGCUCUGAAGGAUCAGCUCCAAGAACACCCUCUUUUAGGAGAUCCUAGCAGAAUUUUGUUGCUUGUGUUCCAUGGAUCAAUGGCUACCCCGGAACAGCUUAGGGCCUCAACAAUGGAACUGAUUUGAGCUAGGUUGUCAGAAAAUGAAGGGAUAAAUGUGGUUUAACUUCCAUUUUCCACUAGUGAUCAACAACAACUGAAUCUGAAUAUUCUCCUGGAAAAUCAAACGAACAGAUUGUUUUAAGUUCAAAUAUAUUUGCUACAUUCAGUACCUUGUCCUGCGGAUUAAAGCUUAAUAAACGAAGAUACCUGGUAGCGUACGGUUGAAUCUAAACAAUUUCGACAGAAACUCAGUGAAAUUAGAUAAGUUUCUUUGAGCUUCUUUACGGUUCAUGAGAUUGCUGGAUAAAACUUGUAGAACAGGAAGAGAAAAUAUGUGUAAACUUUUUUUUAAUGUGAAUAUGAUUUGAAAUUAUGAUUUAUUUUAGUGUUUUAUAGGUUUGUUUUUUGAAAUAUAUGUAUUACUGCAGUUCUGAAAUAAUUUCUUAACUCUCAGAUUCAAAAAUACAUGUAGGUGGACUGUAAAGUAAACAAAAUGAUAUAUGAAGUAAUGGUGAUCUUUAACUUGUCUUAUCUCUUAUUUGCAGAGGGAAGUUCACUGGCAUCGGAACUGUGUUUGUUGGAUAAGGUACAUGUUCUGUUUCAUUAGAUGUUGCGGUAAUUCCAUUCUCUUAUGAUGAUUGAAAAGGAAUACACAGAUGCAGGGAGUGGUGGUGUUGAUAUUGAUACCACAAAAGUGGUUAAGAAGAUGAGGAUGGUGUUGUCGAGUGAGCUUCAGGUUCUUAUUAAAAGAUAUAUCAUGCAUAUCGGAAUGACUAGAUAACAUUGGUUGGCAGUUGCUUUAUGGCCAGCUUGUUCUCAGUAAAGGACCAUCAUUCGGUUUGGAUAAUGAUGUAGCAGUAACUAGCAGGAUGUGUAAAGUUUAUGCUCUAUAUAUUUCAGGUUCUUAUGAAAAGAUCGUAACAAAAUAAAUAUGAGAGAGUUUGGAAUAUAAUACUUUUGAGUUUCCGUUCAUCUAUGAAAAGAUGGUAACUACAUCGCGCGCUAGGGCAGAGUAUGCUGGAGUUCCUGUACAGAAAUGUGUGCUUAUUGCUGGAGGCCAAUCUGGUGUAUCUGAAUCUUAAUGCAUAGUCAUGCCAUGUAUCAAUCUGCGGAGCAGAUAGGAAAAUUUGAGCUUCAUAUCAUGGAGGGAGAGUUUGCUGAUCCUCAGAUUGUAGUUAUGCUUGGUGAAAACGGGACAGUGAAGACGACAUUUCCUUGCUUGCUAGUACACCUUUUUAGAUCCCUUUCUUGUUGUUUUUAGUUUCAAAUUCUAUGUCUAGACUGCGCAUUUAUUCACAUUACACAAGUAUGAUGCAUGUGUAACUUCUAGUUACACAUGUUAUGUGCUUGUGUAACUCCUAAUUACACAAGUAGGAUACAUGUGUAACUAUGAAUUACACUAGACAGAUGCAUGAGUAUCUUCUACUUACACAUGCUAAAAUGAACAAACCUUGUAACCAAAAAAUUACGCAUGCCAGUU